This 337-nucleotide unclassified non-coding RNA is filed under the name soil metagenome. RNAcentral's name for it is "partial contains 5.8S ribosomal RNA, internal transcribed spacer 2, and large subunit ribosomal RNA". The stretch from base 1 to 120 matches the Rfam family "5.8S ribosomal RNA", at positions 35 to 154 of the family's 154-position model. The record is from RNAcentral.
GAUGAAGAACGUAGCGAAAUGCGAUAAGUAGUGUGAAUUGCAGAAUUCAGUGAAUCAUCGAAUCUUUGAACGCACAUUGCGCCCCUUGGUAUUCCAUGGGGCAUGCCUGUUCGAGCGUCAUUUGUACCUUCAAGCUCUGCUUGGUGUUGGGUGUUUGUCUCGCCUCUGCGUGUAGACUCGCCUCAAAACAAUUGGCAGCCGGCGUAUUGAUUUCGGAGCGCAGUACAUCUCGCGCUUUGCACUCAUAACGACGACGUCCAGAAGUACAUUUUUACACUCUUGACCUCGGAUCAGGUAGGGAUACCCGCUGAACUUAAGCAUAUCAAUAAGCGGAGGA